AUUGAACGCUGGCGGCAUGCCUUACACAUGCAAGUCGAACGGUAACAGGUCUUCGGAUGCUGACGAGUGGCGAACGGGUGAGUAAUACAUCGGAACGUGCCCGAUCGUGGGGGAUAACGAGGCGAAAGCUUUGCUAAUACCGCAUACGAUCUACGGAUGAAAGCGGGGGAUCUUCGGACCUCGCGCGGACGGAGCGGCCGAUGGCAGAUUAGGUAGUUGGUGGGAUAAAAGCUUACCAAGCCGACGAUCUGUAGCUGGUCUGAGAGGAUGAUCAGCCACACUGGGACUGAGACACGGCCCAGACUCCUACGGGAGGCAGCAGUGGGGAAUUUUGGACAAUGGGCGAAAGCCUGAUCCAGCCAUGCCGCGUGCAGGAUGAAGGCCUUUGGGUUGUAAACUGCUUUUGUACGGAACGAAAAGCCUCUUUCUAAUAAAGAGGGGUCAUGACGGUACCGUAAGAAUAAGCGCCGGCUAACUACGUG
RNAcentral lists this ribosomal RNA (482 nucleotides) under uncultured bacterium. Its description in RNAcentral is "partial 16S ribosomal RNA". It matches the Rfam family "Bacterial small subunit ribosomal RNA", at positions 30 to 507 of the family's 1533-position model. The record is from RNAcentral.